GACCUCGGAUCAGGUAGGAAUACCCGCUGAACUUAAGCAUAUCAAUAAGCGGAGGAAAAGAAACCAACAGGGAUUGCCUCAGUAACGGCGAGUGAAGCGGCAACAGCUCAAAUUUGAAAUCUGGCUCUCGGGCCCGAGUUGUAAUUUGUAGAGGAUGCUUUUGAUGCGGUGCCUUCCGAGUUCCCUGGAACGGGACGCCAUAGAGGGUGAGAGCCCCGUCUGGUUGGAUGCCAAAUCUCUGUAAAGCUCCUUCGACGAGUCGAGUAGUUUGGGAAUGCUGCUCUAAAUGGGAGGUAUAUGUCUUCUAAAGCUAAAUACCGGCCAGAGACCGAUAGCGCACAAGUAGAGUGAUCGAAAGAUGAAAAGCACUUUGGAAAGAGAGUUAAACAGUACGUGAAAUUGUUGAAAGGGAAGCGUUUAUGACCAGACUUGGGCUUGGUUAAUCAUCUGGGGUUCUCCCCAGUGCACUUUUCCAGUCCAGGCCAGCAUCAGUUUUCGCCGGGGGAUAAAGGCUUCGGGAAUGUGGCUCUCUCCGGGGAGUGUUAUAGCCCGUUGCGUAAUACCCUGGCGGGGACUGAGGUUCGCGCAUCUGCAAGGAUGCUGGCGUAAUGGUCAUCAACGACCCGUCUUGUAACACGGACCAAGGAGUC
RNAcentral lists this ribosomal RNA (650 nucleotides) under Goniomonas pacifica. RNAcentral's name for it is "partial Eukaryotic large subunit ribosomal RNA". It matches the Rfam family "Eukaryotic large subunit ribosomal RNA", at positions 1 to 675 of the family's 3401-position model. Lineage: Eukaryota; Cryptophyceae; Goniomonadida; Goniomonadaceae. The record is from RNAcentral.